UAUCCCCCAAAUGAAUAACAAAUGGAUGAAAGGCAGGAAAACGAAACAGAAAGGCAGUAAUAAGCCAACACAUAUUGAUUAAAUAUACUAUUUAUUGUAUGCUUAGCAAUGUUGCCAAAACCUUGUAUUUUGUUAGCUGAAUUUGGCUUGAAGUUUCCCAUGGUAGAACUCAACUUCAAUAUCUUCUGCUUUUCAUCUUGGCAAAUACUUAAUCAACUUAUUAAGAAAAAAAAAGAGCAUCCCUGCCUCCGGCAUUCAGUUUUCUCCUUUGCAUUCUGUACGUUGUUGUCUGUCCUGUAGAAGAGUGAGCAGCUGGGAUUCUUGACUCCUCUAUCUCUUCCCCACCACCAGCUCAAUGGCUAGUGGGCUAUUAGGAAGCAGUAUGGCUUCCAGGUGUUGUAUCAGAUGCUCAACUAAUCAUAGCAUCAGAAUUAAAAUAUUUAGUUGCAAGGAAAACAGCUGUGGGUGGCUGAAGGACCAACCUUCUAAACUCUGAGUCAUCCCCUGGAAUGGACUGCUGUGUAAAUAUAUUCACACCCACCCAAUUUAUCUCGACCUCCAGAAAUUAUCUUGAACAAAGCAGGCAUUUCACUGCAUUGGCUCUCAGACUUGCCUUCCUGGAAACAACCUUUUCUGGAAGGGAGGCUCAAGACAUAUUUACUAAGAACUCUGAACCACCAGGAAGCCUUAAAGCAAGACCUGUGCUUCUAUAGUUCACAUAUUCUAUCCUAUGAAAGAUGUAGAUAAGUAUUAAUUUAGAAUCUUCUUCAACCUGUUCAGCUGUGUUGCAAAAUAGUAGAUACGUUUCCCAGUAAAGAAUUGAAAUACCAGCAACUGGCACUGAUAGCUAAUGCUCCAUUAUUUCUGUGCAUAAAUCCACGCUGAACUUCCCUUUUUUUUCUUGUUUUUUGUUUUUUUGAGGCAGUAUUUCACUCUGUCACCCAGGCUCACUGCAACCUCCAUUCCCAGGUUCAAACAGUCCCCCCACCUCAGCCUCCCAGAGUAGCUGGGACUACAGGUGUGUGCCACCACACCCAGCUAAUUUUUGUAUUUUUUUUGGUAGAGACAGUCUUUCACCAUGUUGGCCAGACUGGUCUUGAACUCCUCAUUUCAAGUGAUCUGCCCGCCUCAGCCUCCCAAAAUGCUGGGAUCACAGGCAUGAGCCACCAUACCCAGCCUAUGAACAUUCCAUAACCAUUUUGCCCUUGUGAUGUCAUCACUCUACCAUUUUGUUUCUGGACUAUCUCCCUGCAACAUAAGGGGUCUCACUAUGUUCCCCGGGCUGGUCUUGAACUCCAGGACUCAAGGGAUCCUCCUGCCUCAGCCUCCAAAAGUGCUGGGAUUACAGGCGUGGGCCACCACGCCCAGUCUGUCAGAACAUUUUCAAGAGAAUGGGAGGAUCAACUAAUCUGGAGACUUGGUUAAAUGGAGGUCUAUCAGAGAGCCUCUACUGUACUUCAUAAUUUUACUUCAUUCUUUCUUGAAAAUGUGCACUAUAAUUGUUUGAAUUCCCUAGGUUAAAAAUCUCCGUAUAAAUGUCCUUCAUUCUUCUUUUGACUACUGAAAGUCAAUAACACUUUAUCAGUGCACACGAACUCCCACAUAUACUUCCCACACGGGCUGUUUCAAAUUCUUCCUAGCUCAUAGUUCUCAGUUCCUCCUCACUGCUGUCAUUAAAGUUGAUGACCUCUGUCACCUUCCUGUGGUGGGGCAGUUUGUAUGGUGCUAGUACAACCAAGGUAUACUAAGGAUCAUGCUCUUUUCCACUGACUGGAAGCAACCUGCCAACCCUGACCAUCAUGCCUAUAAGGGCUCGUGGAUUUUACAACAUGGAUGAUGAAGGAGAGGAUGGAAUAACAGCUCCAGGGGAGCAUUCACAUGGACUCAGAAAAUAAUUCUGAAUGCAGGCUUCACUGAGUCCAGACUUCAAGAGUGGUCUUCUUGAGAUAAAUCAAGAUAUAUCUAUCAUCACAACUCUGGCUAACUUUUCACCUGAGUGUUUCCCCGUGUCUAUCACUUUUUCCUUUUCCAAAAGUCUCAAAGAAAGAGUGGAUCCCUUUCAAAGGCUAACAACCCUCCUGUGUUCCAAAUUCCAUUUCCUUCUUGCAGUCAAAAUCUCCUCCCCCA
Molecule: long non-coding RNA, 2127 nt
Filed under: Homo sapiens (human)
Lineage: Eukaryota; Metazoa; Chordata; Mammalia; Primates; Hominidae
Description: HSALNT0334511
Source: RNAcentral